CUUGCUUCAUGGCUCUUAAGAUGAAACUGGGGUUUGAGGUUCCUCCCCCUAGCCACUAAAGAAGGAUUUUACUGUCCAAACCCAGAAAGGCGAUUCAUUCUUUACCAUUUCUGGGGAUUUCAGUCUUAAUGUGGUACUUUAUUAACAGGAGAUGCUAAGGUACCUUCUAUGUGAACAAUCUGCAGUGUCUAAAUUGCCUUAAAGGAGCCCACUUCUUAGCUGCUAAAAUCAGUGCUCUUUUACUCCUUCAGAGGAGCAGGGAUGAUACCUACCAACCCGGUAGGUGAGAUAUAGGUGGUGCAUAUUAAUUUCCCUUAGAAAUUCCAAGCCCUGUCUCCUGUGUAAAGACGGUAUGUCUGGUUCAGAGGUGUGUAUUAGUGAGUGUUGCUUGUUAACAUCCAGUAGACCCAUUUGGAUUUAUAGUACAACCCUUCCUCCACUCCCAGUCUCUCUCAGUUUUCUAGUUUUUAACUAGACCGCAUUCUAUCAAGUUGAGUUUUGUACCCUAGCAUUUCUGUUGUAUUUUUUAAAAACUAAGGAAAAUUUUUAGUGUUAACACUGAGGAACUGCUUGAGUGGUUGUUACCAAUUUCUCUUUUGAACCUUUGGAGCUAAGAGUGCAGCUUGAAUCUAGAGAAAUGCUAGUCUCAAAUUCUGAAUGAAUUCCUGUGUUUCUAGCCCUUAUUUCAUAGCAUCAACGAACUGGAGCCAUAAGCAAAUUCUCUCAGUUCUGCCCCAUACAGCUUAUGCUGAAGGCAAAUUUCUUGAGCCAUUACUCAGUACAAAGCACUGAGUCAAUCUAGGUUUUAUCCUUUAAGAGCAAAGUUCUGAUCAGCUGUGCUUCUGCAAUCUAAAAUAUUUAGAGAGAGGUAGGUGUGGAUGAGAGAAAGAACCAUAAACUUGGCCUUGGUGAAAUAAAACUAACUCCAUAUAAUUUGCUUGGAACUGUAGGCCCUGUAUAAUACUAUUUUUACAGAUGUGGUACCACUUUAGAUUGACACAUGCCACCAAAAAAGUUCAUAAACUAAAAUCUUAAAGGACAAUUUGUGUGUAGAGAAAGUAGUUGGUACAUCUUGACUCAUACUCCGAAAGAAUCCCCAGAGAGGCUCUCUCAAAGAUCAGAGGUAGAGUCCCAUGCCAUGUACCCUGCUUACCAGCAUUUCUGCAUGGUCAAAUGAGCUUUAUGCUCAUGAGCUUUUAAAUAUAUAAUUACCCAGGAUUUCAAAUCCUCAACUUGUUCUAGCUUAUGAUCCUUCAAAAUUGGAUCAUGCAUUAGUGCUAGAUUCUAGAAAUUUUCGCUUCCCUCCACUGAUCAGAGAAACAGACAAUAAAAACAGAAAUACAAGAAAGGAAAGCUUUUACCCUGCAGCUUUCUAGCAGGGCACAACUAUCUUGCCAAAACUUUUUCCCCCUUUUCUCUAUUUCUCCCCACCCCGUCUCUAAUCCAUGCCAGCCUGACCAUGCUUUCUUCUCUGUAGAUGCUAACAGUUGAAGCCUUUUUUCCUGGGGAGGGCACUUAACCAGCCAAUCAGAACACCAUAUCUGUUAGGGGAGAUAACCUGACCAACAGUGUAUCUAUUGGGCGCCUCUGCUGGAGGAAGGGGCCCACGUCCUGCUGCCCUCUGGUCUGCCCUCUGGUUCGGUAUCUAUUAAUGUGUCCAUAGGAACAAUAGGUAAGGGCUCCAUCUCUGUCAAACCAUGUAACAAGGGACACUAGAAAAUAUCUGGCAUCAGAGGGAACAUGUGGAGAGCAACUUGGGAGGAAAAAGUUCAUUUUGUAUUAAAUGAUUUUUAAUGAAUGCAAUAUUAAUCAUUGCAGAUGAGCAAUAAUCAUUAAAGUCAAUUAAAAUGAUAAG
Long non-coding RNA from Heterocephalus glaber (naked mole-rat), 1855 nucleotides. Lineage: Eukaryota; Metazoa; Chordata; Mammalia; Rodentia; Bathyergidae. The record is from Ensembl.